CCUACUGGAUCCCAGAUAAUGAAAUCAUUCUUCUAUCCUUUUGUUAUUAUAGUCCUGAUUUUAUUGUGUAUGAUUUUAUAUAACUGUCACCUUACUUGUACAUUGAGGAAGAGAGUACAGAAAUGAAUCCAUAAUGCAGAACAGAAACAAUUAGAAAUUCUCCUCUCUGCCACUGGAGGGUAUCAACCCAUCUUUAAACUGGGCCUUAGGAAUUACCACAUGGGAAUCGAGGUGAAGAAAUUAAUGAAAGUCCCGCAGGGAGUGACUAGCA
Non-coding RNA from Pelobates cultripes (western spadefoot toad), 271 nucleotides. NCBI's taxonomy places the organism in Eukaryota, Metazoa, Chordata, Amphibia, Anura, Pelobatidae. The record is from the annotation of a GenBank genome assembly.